CCUACGGGAGGCAGCAGUAGGGAAUCUUCCACAAUGGGCGAAAGCCUGAUGGAGCAACGCCGCGUGGGUGAAGAAGGUCUUCGGAUCGUAAAACCCUGUUGUUAGAGAAGAAAGUGCGUGAGAGUAACUGUUCACGUUUCGACGGUAUCUAACCAGAAAGCCACGGCUAACUACGUGCCAGCAGCCGCGGUAAUACGUAGGUGGCAAGCGUUAUCCGGAUUUAUUGGGCGUAAAGGGAACGCAGGCGGUCUUUUAAGUCUGAUGUUAAAGCCUUCGGCUUAACCGGAGUAGUGCAUUGGAAACUGGGAGACUUGAGUGCAGAAGAGGAGAGUGGAACUCCAUGUGGAGCGGUGAAAUGCGUAGAGAUAUGGAAGAACACCAGUGGCGAAGGCGGCUCUCUGGUCUGUAACUGACGCUGAGGUUCGAAAGCGUGGGUAGCAAACAGGAUUAGAUACCCGAGUAGUC
This 465-nucleotide ribosomal RNA is filed under the name uncultured bacterium. RNAcentral describes it as "partial 16S ribosomal RNA". It matches the Rfam family "Bacterial small subunit ribosomal RNA", at positions 338 to 795 of the family's 1533-position model. The record is from RNAcentral.